Molecule: long non-coding RNA, 7298 nt
Organism: Pungitius pungitius (ninespine stickleback)
Lineage: Eukaryota; Metazoa; Chordata; Actinopteri; Perciformes; Gasterosteidae
Exons: 2
Source: RefSeq, a predicted model, not a curated record
CAGUAGUAGACAGUAAUCUGAUUACUUUUUCAUCACUGUUCAGUGCUAAACACACACUUCUGACAGUACUGCAAAUAGUGCAUUUAUUUACAGUUUCAGCAUAUAAAAAGUGCAGUGCCAUACUGUGGGAUGAUAAGAGCAUGGCUUCGUGCUGGUCCGAUCUGUCCCCAAACACGCUCUCACGUCUGAAAGCACGUCUUAAUAUCAGUGCUUCUUAAUCCAACACGUGGUUCAAAAAUGGGCCUCAUGGUGCAGGAAGAAACACAGGUGAAUGGCACUUUAUAUCUCGCCCUCCUCACGUUUACAAUUGUUCACUCCUACCUGCGCAGUUUCGCCCACCUGUCGGUUGGUCCGCCCACAACAACUAAUACACACACACACACCGCCCCAGUAUUUCAACGUGGUUAUUAUUAGCUGAACCUUCUUGCAGUCCGCGAAAUAUUGUCUGACAUGAAAACGGUCCGUGAGGCAAAAAAGGUUGCGGACCACUGAUUUAAACAAUUCAAUUCAAUAAUUUUAUUUGGUACAGCCCAAAAUUGCAAAUUAGAGGGCUUUACAGUCUGUACACAUGUAACAUCCACUGUUCCGAAACCCUCACAUCGGCACAGGAAAAACACCCCCAAAAAUGAAAAACCCUUCCAUGGGGAAAAAAGGGAAGAAACCUUAGGGAGAACGUCAGAGGAGGGAUCCUCCUCCCGGGAUGGACAGACUACAAUAGAUGUCAUGUUUAUAUAAUAACCAAUGUAAAAGAUGUACAAUACAUUCAAUUUCUCUAACAUAAAUUAUACAAAUAAUUGCAAGCAGCAGGCCAAAUGUACAGCAGGACCACCGCAGGGGCAACCACCAUCCACAGAGGCUUCUGUGGGGAGGUAGAGCACAAAGAUGUUUGUUUAUGAUGACAGUAAAAUGUAUGGAAGUAAAUCUGUCUCAUCGGAUUAUGAAAGAAAAAGGUGAUUGAAUUUCUAGCACUGAAUAUUUAUGCAUUGAAAUUAUGUAUCUGAAUGUUUUUCAACGACUGCGGCAUGAUUAUGCAGAGGUAUGUAUGUCAGAGUCCCCCCCUCUGGACCCAGGUAAAGGCUGGUUUAGGUCUCCCUCUGGUGGAUCUGGGAGAGGUUGGCCUCGCACGCACCUGUCUCAGCUCUGCAAUCACGCACCUGCACCGGAGCCACAAUCACCAGGGGAUAAGAGGGAGAGCCUGACAACCGGCCGACGUCGGAUCGUUACUCACGUCACUGACACCUGUCUGUUCCUGCACGUGGGAGGACCACUGGGCACCGCGCAUUGUCGAGGAGAUCAUCAGCCGGGACCCCCUCCUUCACCUGCACUUCUCACGCCCGCUCCUGCUGCACCUCCACAGUCGUGUCGAUUAAUAAACUGACUAUUCACUCACCUCCUGACAGCUGUGUCUGUCUGUCCUGCAUUUGGGUCCAGCCAUGUCCCAACUUGACAGAACGAUCCGACCAUCUAUGGACCCAGCAAACUUCGACACGGUACGUCAGGCGAUCUCGUCCCAAGGAGCCAUGUUGGGGCAGCACCAGUCCUCCCUGCAGGGAAUAAUGGCCAGCCUGGACUCCCUGUCGAUCCAGGCGCACCUCAACGUACCACCCCACCCUCCGGUUCAGAGCCUGUCUGAACCCGUUUCUGUGGUUAUGUCCAUGCCAGACCACGAGCCCCAGGUCCCCACGCCGGAGAGAUAUGACGGACACCGGCCGGUGCCGCUCGUUUCUGAUACAGGUGGGACUGGUGUUCGAGCGAGCCAAGAUCUCCUACAUUAUCGGAUUACUGCGCGGGGAGGCUUUGGAAUGGGCCUCUGCCGUGUGGGAGAAGCAGGGCGCAAUCGCCCAAUCAUGUGAGUUAUUUACCGCGGAGAUGCGGAAGAUAUUCGAUCACCCCGUUCGGGGAAAAGACGCUUCAAAGCGAUUAUUAUCACUGCGGCAAGGGACACGCAGUGUCGCCGAUUAUAGCAGCGUAGCAGCAGUAUAAAGUUCCGUAUCCUAGCUGCGGAGAGUGGCUGGGAUGAGGAGGCACUACAGGGGGUGUUCUACAACGGACUUACUGAGGGAAUUAAGGACAGUCUACUCUGCUACCCCGAGGCACAGGGACUGGAGGAGCUGAUCUGUCUCACCACACGGAUUAAUAACCGUAAUAGGGAGCGGAGGCGUGAGCAGGGCUCGGCACCAAGGGGAGCGCCGUUCUCCAGAGUCGACACUCCUGAGAGGGUUACAGACCCCGAACCCAUGCAACUGGGCCGCUAGCAAAUUUCGGAGGCGGAGCUUCUGCGCAGACGCAUGACUAACAGCUGUCUAUAUUGUGGCACGUCGGGUCACUUUCGCUCUCGUUGCCCAUUAAAGGGUGGAAACGGCCCCGCUCACUAGAAGUAAGGAGGAGUCUAGCGAGCGAGAGUCUAUGCCCCUCCCCCCACAUAUCACGGACUCCGCUGAAGAUUUUAGUCAGCAACCGCACUGCAGCAAUGGCAGUGGAGGGACUCAUAGACUCCGGGGCCGAUGACAAUUUUAUGGACCAUAAGCUUGUAGACCGAUUAGGACUCCGUAGAGUUCCAUUAGAGGAGGUUAUUGACGCUAACUCCCUAGAUCAGUGUUUCUCAACUGGUGGCUCCCGGGCCAUUGCAUGGAAAAAAAAAAUCAUCCUGGGAUUUUAUUUUGAAGGGACUUUCUCUAAUGCAGCGGAGUGUCGGUGUUUUUCCGGCUCGUCCGUCCUUGUUUUCAGUCAGCAAUUAGAAUGCGGAAGCACCGCCCCCCACAUUGAACUGCUGCCCGGGGCCUCCCUACCCAAGGGCAGACUCUACAAUAUCUCCAGACCACAGCGAGAGGCCAUGGAGAAUUACAUCAGGGACUCAUUGGCAGCUGGAAUCAUCCGCCCCUCUUCCUCUCCGCUGGGCGCAGGGUUCUUCUUUGUUAAAAGAAGGACGGCACACUCAGGCCAUGCAUCGACUAUCGGGGGUUGAAUUACGUGUCUGUCAAGAACAAAUACCCGUUACCACUGAUGAACACUGCUUUCGAUUCAUUACAGGGCGCUACUGUGUUCACCAAGCUCGACCUCCGCAACGCCUACCACCUGAUCCGCAUUCAAGAGGGGGAUGAGUGGCUCACCGGGUUCAACACCCCCCUGGGCCACUUUGAAUACUUGGUUAUGCCAUUCGGUUUAACUAAUGCCCUAGCCGUGUUCCAAUGUCUAGUUAAUGACGUCCUACGUGACUAGCUGGGUCGCUUUGUUUUUGUCUACCUGGACGACAUACUUGUUUUUCAGAGAAUCAGGAGGAAAACCUGAGGCACGUCCGCCAGGUUCUUCAGCGGGUGCUGGAGAACAGACUCUUUGUGAAAGCGGAGAAGUGUGAAUUUUACACCAGGUGCACAAGCUUUCUGGGUUAUGUCAUCGCCGAGGGAGAGGUAAGAAUGGACCCCCAGAAGGUGCAGGCCAUCCUGGAGUGGCCCAGACCCAAUUCCCGCAAGGAGUUACAGAGGUUUCUGGGGUUCGCUAACUUUUAUAGGCGGUUCAUCCGCUACUACAGCCAGAUUGCAGCCCCCCUAACAGACCUUACCUCCAAUCUCACAGCGUUCCGGUGGUCUCCUGGGGCAGAGUCCGCCUUCCAGGAGCUCAGGGAGCGUUUCACGUCGGCACCCAUUCUUGCCGAACCGGACCCGUCCCUACAGUUCGUGGUAGAGGUUGACGCGUGUCUGUCUGUUCUGCAUUUGGGUCCAGCCAUGUCCCAACCUGACAAUGUUUUCACUUUAGCAGUGUGAUCUUGCAUACUGUCUGUGGUGGCGGGCGUGGUUUCAGCUCGGCUGCAGGGGGGAGAGAGGGGGAGUGGCUCGGGGAACAGUGCCAGGUGAAAACAAUAACGACCAGCUGGCGAUGAUUGUGUGUGCAUGUGCUCUCCCCUACUUAAACAGUAAGGCGGAGGCGAGCGAGGAGAGAGGGUUGCCGAGUGAGCCAGACGCCGGCGCAGUGCUGAAUAUAAAUAAAACGUUUUUCUAAACACGACCCAGGCAUUGAGUCCCUUUUAUCCGGAGCCCGACGGACCCAACACCGUACACCAGAGGUGGGAACAAGUCACAAGCAAGUCUCAAGUCAUUGCCCUCGAGUCCCGAGUCAAGUCGAGUCACAAGUCAAAGCCAACAAGUCUCAAGUCGAGUCACAAGUCGUACCAUUUUAGUUUCGAGUCAUUUCGAGUCCUUUUAUUAUAGUGGGGACGGGGAACCCUGGGUGAUGGUGCGCUGCCUCACAGACCUAGACUACGAAGGGAAGGGUAAUGGUGGAUCGACUGUGACUGUGUUAUAGUACUGUAGCACUCACCCCAAUGCUGCAGCGUAAAUAAGGAGGCGAUCGCUUGCAACUCCGCUGCAUUUAUUUAUAUAAAACAACUCAACUUCGGUCACUGUUGGCCGUCACCACGCCGAACGAACACUUCCGCAUACACGGCCCCCCAAAACUCGGGUUGUCUCGCGUAACUACAGCUGGUAACAGAGCAUAACGUGAACACAUGCAACAUCUGCAUAACUGAUUAACUAAUAACUUUAACUCAGCUCAUUACACUACUUUAAAACGGACGUUGACAUAACGUUGGCGAGGAUUUCCAUCGGAGUCUGAAUCCGGGUUCAAAAAUCCCGAUUUUUGUAACCGUGAACGAGCUGUCUCGUUGAUACGGUCAAAUGGACUGCAGUGAUUGGAUGUCGUGCAGGCAGCGCGCGCUCUCUGCAUACAGGUGGCGCACAUUUAUUUGACAGAUGCAGAUAAACAGAGCGGCGCGGUGGUGUGAAAAUGUUUUCCCCCAGUUUUCAUGGGAAGUAUCAAGUCUUCUCGAGUCAAAAGGCUCGAGUCCAAGUCAAGUCACGAGUCAUCGGUGUUCAAGUCCAAGUCGAGUUGCAAGUCUUUGUACGUUUUGUCGAGUCUCAAGUCAUCAAAUUCAUGACUCGAGUCUGACUCGAGUCCAAGUCACAUGACUCGAGUCCACACCUCUGCCGUACACUGUCUUUUACUGUAAUAUGUAUACUCUACUAGUCUACACUGAACUACACAAUUCUGCCUGACACUGCUUUCAGAGUUUUAAAAAUGGAUGGAGAGGAGCAUGAGUUAAUUUACGUAGAUGAGGCUUAGUUCAACCUGACGAAAACACGAAGGAGGGGAAGAAACAACAUUGGCUACAAGGCUAUAGUCAAUGUCUCAGGGCAACAUGGGGGUAAUAUAACACUCUGUGUAGCCAUUACACAGAAUGGGGUCUUUCACUGCCAUGCCCAUAUGGGCCCUUAUAACACAGCACUCAUUCUUACAUUCUUGGACCAAUCGCACAACAUAACAGCAUCAAAUCGAUCGUAUGCAAUACAUUGUUGUCUGGGACAAUGUGUCUUUUCACCGCACUGGUUCAGAACUGGUUUCAGCAAAAUCCACAGUUCACCAUCCUAUAUCUUCCACCAUACUCUCCAUUUCUCAACCCUAUAGAAGAGUUUUUCUUUGCAUUGCAGUGGAAGGUAUAUGAUCUCCGUCUCCAGGCCGACGUACCCCUCAUCCAAGCCAUGGAGGAGGCCUGUGACUAGAUGGAGGUAGCAGCAAUGCAAGAAUGGAUUCGUCAUUCAAGACGUUUCUUUCCAAGGUGUCUUCUUACAGUUUUUUUGGAUUGCUAAAGCACGAUUUUCAAAACAGGACCCGUGUUUUCAAAACACUACACACAAUUAGCACAACCAAAAACCCAAUUAGCAAAACACUAAAGAUCCUUUGCAAAAUUAAACACACUUGUAAAAACUAUACACUUCUUUUAAAAAAACGCAUUGUUACCAUAUGAAACACACACAUUUCAAAUUACUAUGCUGUGAUAAACCUAAAACACUUUUAGCACUUCUACUUUCCUAUGAUUAGAGUAGGUUACUGUCAACAAAGUACAAAUAUAAUGUAAAUUCACCAAACGCUACACAAGACCAAUGUUGCAGACUGAAGAAACUCAUUUAUUUCUCAACACGCCCAAAUUGUUGACAAUGAUAUUGAGACAUGUCUCUUCGCCUAGCUGGAUCUGGCCAGAGAAUUUUAUCAACAUCGCAGGCAAUGUUGUCAUUACAGUUUUUCUUGAUUGUUUACACACAAAUACUGGUACUUGACACACAACGACCACAACAUGUAACUCAUGCACCAACCACCUGAACCAAUUCUGCUAAACUACAAGCACAAUUUUUGCUUUACACUCAAAUUGCAGUUCUAAAACACACUUUUUUCAAAACACUACACACAAUUCUCUGCAUUCUCUGCACAAUUUUCAUGAAGAAAAUUUUGUUUUUACAAGAAAAACACUAAUUCAAAAUUCUAAAGUCAAUUGCCCUACUAUGCACACUGACUCAUCACAUGGGAAAACACCUGUCACACAGUGUUACAAUUAGGAAUCAGAGCUUUAGCAUAAAAGGGCAACAGGUGAGCUCUUCUGUUUUGGAGCAAUGGAUGCCAACAUUAGAAACGGAGCCAGAGGAGUGAGAGUAAGAGGAGGAGGACAGGGGGAGGACGAGGAAGGCCAAGGACCGUAAACUCUGAUGAGAUCUGAGCCACUUUGGUUGACCAAAGCUAUGGAGGAAUUUUUUUCUGCCUGGAGAUGGAAAGUGUAUGACUGACAUCCACAAACGCAUAUCCCCCUUCUAUAAGCUAUAGAAGACGCAUGUGGAGAUGAAGCAGUUGGAGCUUUUCAUGGCUGGAUUCAACAUGCUAAGCAAUAUUUCCCCCACUGCUUGGCCAGGGAAAACAUUGCUUGUGAUGUGGAUGAGGUUCUGUGGAACAGACUGAAACAGAAGAGAGGAUGCAGCAUAGUUGUUUUUUUUACUGUAACUGUAUACAGUAAAUUCUUGUUGUUUUGUAAAUAGACUGUAUGUGCAACUUUGUGUUGGUUGGGAUGUACACUGUGUGCAUUAUUUUCGUGGGGAAAAUAAAAUAUAUUUGUUACCAUGUAUUUGUGUGUUCUGAGUAUAAAAACAAUAUUUGACAACACACGUAUGUAUGUACUGUCUGUAGUAAGUGUAAAAAAAGGUCAAAAUCAUUAUGAUGAAUGGAGAAGUGUUUUCCAUUCAUCAUAGUGUUUUAAAUUGAGCACAUCAGUGUUCAACUGGUUCUUAUAAAAGUAUAUUCAUAUGAUGGUUUGUGUGUGUCAUUUGAAAACCAAAUACCAUUUUGAGAAGAAAUAACAUUGUUUUGAAUGUAAAGUUUCAUUUUGCAGGAGUAUUGAGGGGUUUUGCCCAUUGUGUGUGUGUUUUUUGAUUUGUGUGUAGAGUUCUGAGAGUAUGAGGCAUGCUUUAAGAAAAUGUGUCUAA